UACGGAGGGUGCAAGCGUUAUCCGGAUUUACUGGGUUUAAAGGGUGUGUAGGCGGACUUUUAAGUCAGCGGUGAAAUCUCCGGGCUCAACCCGGAACUGCCAUUGAUACUAUUAGUCUUGAAUCUUGUUGAGGUAGGCGGAACGGGUCAUGUAGCGGUGAAAUGCAUAGAUAUGACCCGGAACACCAUUGCGAAGGCAGCCUACUAA
RNAcentral lists this ribosomal RNA (207 nucleotides) under uncultured bacterium. RNAcentral describes it as "partial 16S ribosomal RNA". It matches the Rfam family "Bacterial small subunit ribosomal RNA", at positions 524 to 732 of the family's 1533-position model. The record is from RNAcentral.